Long non-coding RNA from Carcharodon carcharias (great white shark), 390 nucleotides. RefSeq lists it as uncharacterized. NCBI's taxonomy places the organism in Eukaryota, Metazoa, Chordata, Chondrichthyes, Lamniformes, Lamnidae. The record is from RefSeq and is a predicted model, not a curated record. The transcript is spliced from 3 exons.
AGGUUGUGACAGGAAUCGUAUCCUUUUCACUUUACAGAUCUAGGGAACCAUAACAAACGCUCCAAAUUUCCUCGCAUUGAGCAUUCUGACAAACCACCAUGUUAUCUGGGAAGAUACAGAACACGCCAAGGCAAGGCACCCUCCAGAAAUUGAGGACUGCAAGCAAGCCGGAAUUACUGAAUAAAUGAACGCGAUUAGUUCUCAGUUGCUGAAAGCAGGAGUUCACUCAAAUUUUCAGACGCGUUGAAUGACUUCAAAUCCCUACCUGCCCCUAUCAAGAAGGCUGAUGGAGUAUUAAACUGAUAUUGAUUAUUUGCAGUAGGACACGGAAACAACUCGUACAUCCUUACCUCUGCCAGACCAUCACAUUGAACGUGUGACUGAAUCCAC